AAGGAGCAGAAAGAGCCGGAUCAAUACUAAAAUGCUGAUGCAAGGCCCCAUUACUGAAGUUCUGAAUCUUACAUAUCUCACUGACCGUGGAAAAGUUAAGCUGGUGCCUAACUCGAGCCUUUACCCCCGGUGACUAGUGUUCAUGGAACUGGAUGGUAUCCUGGUACUCAGCAUGCCACCAGCGGAGAAAGGGUGGUAUUAGUGACCCUCCAUAUGGCUGCUCUUCAUGAUAACGAUGGAAUGGAAGCAGCCUCUAUGUCCAUUAACUGACUGAUGGGAGUGAGCGUGGGAUAGUUAUACAAUGGAAUAGCAUCCUGCUCUUACGAAGAAUGGAAUUUGCAGCUAAAUGGAUGGAACUGGAACCUGCUAGACCUUUGGAUGAAGACAUAGAAUUCUCAGCUCCUCCUGUGCCAUGCCUGCCUGGAUUCUGCCAUGCUCCCACCUUGAUGAUAAUGGACUGAACCUCUGAACCUGGUCCUGUUUGCAAUGGAAACUUGAGUGUUCUUGGGCAAGCCAGUUGUGUUUGUUACUUGUGUGCCGGGGCAAACAAGUAAAGGAGUGUUUUCCUGAAGUGGAUACAGGUGAAAGACUAAGGCAGACUCGUGAAGGAACACUGCUUUGAAGAAGACACAGGAGAAAGGAUGUUCUGCUAAAGCAAGCCCGUGAAAGGACAUGUGAUGAAGGAUUCUUUGUUAAUGACACACAUGUAUUGGUCUGCCUUACACUGUAAUUGAGCUCCAUUUACUUGUUGGGACUCCAUAACUUCUGGUGCAGUGCUGUAGUUUCUUGCCUCGUCUGUGGACUGGGGCUGUUUGGCAGAGUGAUGUCAGCUGAGACAGACUCAUGUGUUGAGGCAAGACAGGUGGAGGUCGUGUGAUGAUUGAUGGCUUGCUGGUACAGCUAGCUGUGCAAUGUUUGUGGGUCUCUUAUCUUCACUGAUCUUUGCUUUCCUGAGAAAGGCACAGCCAAGAACUUCUCCUGACACUCCUCUGCGUCCCUCCUGCUAACUUGAGCUGAGGCUGAGGCCUGGCUGUCUCUGCUAGGGCAUGUCACUGCUGUUGCUAACCUGACCCUACCAAAGUGGACUGCUGGUAUAUUCAUGAAGUAUUUGCAAGUGGAUGGAGCUGCCGCUGCCUGCUAACCUAUGAGCUGAACUGCUGAUUUCCAUACAACGCAGAUUGGAAUUGCUCCAAAGAACCUUUCUAAACAGGUCAUUCAGUAACUCCAAGAGUCGAUCUGCACUGAGUGGGGUCGGGCUAGGCCAACAAGAAGCCAACUAUCCUGUGAGGAGUGCGGUGGAACCUCAGGUGGCUCUUUGGGAGAGAAGAUCUCUUCCCACCUGUUACAGCUCUUGGAACAAAAGACUCAGAGAUGGAGUAGUACUUGCACACAGGGUUCGACAGCAGGUACCUCUUAUUGUCUUGGACUGAGAGUUUGGGGGAAACCUUAAUUGCAUGUGGGAAGGCUUGAUGCUGCUCCUAAGUGACCGAUAGCCACACACCUCUCCUGCAGAGGCUGUGGGAACAGUAACUUCGACAGGAGCCAGGGGGCCAGGAGACAUGAUUGAACACCUUCUGUCCCAUGUAGGUGGAAAUCACCACCUAUCGGUCCCUGGGGUUCCAGACCUUUGCUCGACUGGAGACCAGGCUGUCUGUGCGCAUCCAACUGCCCCACAGACCAUGAUCUAGCUGGAGUUGAGUUUUGUGUGGGAUGAGUGAUGAUAAGGAUUUACUUUCUUCUAACAGAGCUUCCAGUAUGACCAGCACCAGUUGCUGAUGAGGCUAUCUUUUCUCCAAUGGGUAGUUUUAGUCUUUGUCAAAAAUCAGAUGGCAAUAGGGGCGUGGGUUUCCAUUUACAAACUCAACUCCAUAUCAUUGAUAAAUGUGUAUAGACUUAUGCUAGUACCCUACUGUGGUGUUUGUUUGUUUUUUAAAUUACUGUAGCUCUGUAGAAAUCAGGUGUGGUGACACCUCUGGCAGUGAUUUUAUUAUUCAAGAUUGUUUUGCCUAUCCUGGGCCUUUUGUUUUUCCAUAUUUAAGAUUAUUAUUCAAAUUCAUAUUCGGAAACACAUUAGACAUUUGAUGAGGAUCGUGUCGUCACUGAAAUCGCCUUUGGUUGGGUGGGCGUUUUCACAAUAUUAAUCUAGCCAACACAUGAGUGAAUAUGGAAGGGGGUUCCAUCUUCAGGAACUGUCUUCUGCUUCCUUUUUUUCUUUCCAUUAUCUUAAAAUCUUCAUUAUACAAGUUUUUCACUCCCUUGGUUUGUGUCCUAGUUAGGGUUUUUAUUGCUGUGAUAAAGUAACCAUGAUCAAAAGCAACAUGGGGAGAAAGGGUUUGCUUCAUCUUUACACUUCCAGGUAACAGUACAUAACAGGAGCAAGUCAGGGGAGGAACUCAAGCAGGGCAGGAACCCGGAGACAGGAACUGAACCUGAGGCCAUGGAGGAGUGCUGCUUACUGGAUUAUUCUCCAUGGCUUGCCCAAUCUGCUUUCUCAUACCACCAGGAACCGGACUCAUGGAUGGCACUACCUAUAAUGGGUUGGGACCACAUACAUCAGUCAAUUAAAAUUAUGCCCCAACAGGCUUACCUACUAGCCAAUGUGGUGGGGUCAUUAUCUCAGUUGAGUUUUUUUUUUUUUCUUAAAUAGCUCCAGGCUGUGUUAAGUUGACAUAAAAACUAGCCAGCACACUAUGAGAGUACUAAUUUCUUCAAAAUAAUAUCUUUGUUAUUUGAGAAUUCCACAAUGUAUUCUGAUCAUAUACAUUCCCUUCCCCACAGCUACUCCUAGAUUGAGCUUCAUCUCCCUACCCACCCAACUUCACAUUUUUUUAUAUCUUAAACCUGUCAAGUCAGUUUGUGUUGGCCAGCUACUCUUGGCUGUAGAAUCUAUUAUGGAGUGUAGUCAGUGUAAGUUCACACCGUAAGGAAACUGCCUCUGCCCCUGCAAGCAGCUAAUAAAGGCCAGUAGCUCCUAAACUAAGGGAGGGACUACAUUUGUACCUUGCAUGCCCUGGUGCUGGGAUUUUGUUGGCCUUGAGUUUGUGUGGGUCUUGAGCAAGCCAUGACAAUAGAUCUAACUACAACUGUACUGCUGCUGUGUCAAGAACAUACUGUUUCCUUGAAGUCAUCCAUCACCUCUGGCUCUUACAAUUUUUCCAUGCCUCUUCUUCAAAGGCCCCUGAGCCGUGAGGGGAGAGGUAUAAUGGGAACAUCCUGUUAGGGCUGAGUAGCCUAAAGUCUCUUACUCUCAGCAUACUGACCAUUUGUAUAUUAGCCAUUGUUAAUGGCAGGCUGCAGGUAGAUGGAUGGUGCUUUCUGUGGAAGGUGUUCAGUCCAUGUGGUCCUAAGGUAACAGGGGUAGAUUUACAGUAUGGGCGGGAGUUACUACCUGGCAUGCCCCAGGUCUCCUGGUGCGCUGGUAGCAGGGGUGGAAGAUCGUCUUUUCUCCAUUGAGUAGGCUUGGUACCCUUAUCAAAAUCAUUUUUGCAGUGUAUGCAAGGGUUUAUUUAUGCUGCCUAUUUUAACAGCUGGAAACAUCAAAAUCAUGACUAUUGAAUGCUGUGGAGAAAUUGGUAUUCUUACCAUGUUUAAUAAUGUUUUUAUGACUAUAUAAUAAAAGGAAAACUUUAUC
Molecule: long non-coding RNA, 3631 nt
Filed under: Mus musculus (house mouse)
Lineage: Eukaryota; Metazoa; Chordata; Mammalia; Rodentia; Muridae
Description: RIKEN cDNA 2610037D02 gene (2610037D02Rik)
Source: RNAcentral